GACGAACGCUGGCGGCGUGCCUAAUACAUGCAAGUUGAGCGCUGAAGGUUGGUACUUGUACCAACUGGGUGAGCCGCGAACGGGUGAGUAACGCGUGGGGAAUCUGCCUUUGAGCGGGGGACAACCUUUGGAAACGAAUGCUAAUACCGCAUAAAAACUUUAUACACAGGUUUUAAGUUUGAAAGAUGCCAUUUCAUCACUCACUCAUGAUCUCGCGUUGUAUUAGCUAGUUGGUGGGGUAAAGGCUCACCAAGGCGAGGCAACAUAGCCGACAUGAGCGGGUGGGUAGCCACAUUGGGACGGAGACAGGGCACAAACGGACUCAGAAGGCAGCAGGAGGGAAACGUGGGGAAUGGACGAAAGACUGACCGAGAAACGCGGAGGGAGGGAGGAAGGAUGUCGGAUCGUAAAACACUGUUGGUAGAGAAGAACGUGGGUGAGACUGGAAAGAUGAGUAAGUGACGGUAACUAGCCAGAAAGGGACGGCUAACUACGUG
RNAcentral lists this ribosomal RNA (497 nucleotides) under uncultured bacterium. RNAcentral's name for it is "partial 16S ribosomal RNA". It matches the Rfam family "Bacterial small subunit ribosomal RNA", at positions 28 to 507 of the family's 1533-position model. The record is from RNAcentral.